GCGCGAAUUAACCCCGUCACCCCGCCAUUGUCGCCGCGCACUUCGGGGCCGGCCACAAAGGCGCCAGAAAGCCCCGCCGCGCUCGGAGGAAUGCAGACAUGUUCGCAGCGCUCAGAAGAAAAGUGAUCCUGAACUGAUGAAGCAGAUGAAUUAGGGGUGAUUAUUCUCGUCACAAAAGGAUGCGCUACGGGGAUUCUGUAAGUGUGUCUUGUGUCUCUGCUUGUCUGAUGUCUGCCCUCCCACCGGAGUGUCAGUCAAGGCCAGGGUCUGGGGCUGUCUUGUCUGUUGGCUUCUCAGCACCUUAUCCAGAGGCUAGUGCCCGGCGGGGGCUCCGUAAGGAUUUGGCAAAGUAAUCACUGGCCCUCGAUGUUCCAACAGACUUGUUUCAGGCUGGCGUGCUGGCUGGCGCAGAAGGCAAAGAGAGUGGUGGCACGUCACCCUCCGGUGCGAACAGCGCCAGGAUCGGGACUUGCUUGCUGUGGAUGCCGUGAUGGGGACACGGUCACCGGCGACUGGCCCCAGCAGUUCUCACAAGCUGUCUCGGCCACGUGGUUUGGGUCUCUAAAGAAAGCAGAGCUGCAAAAGGAAAUGAAGACGCUCGGACAGGCUGUGAGCUCCUUAAGGUGGAGAUUUUGAUUUGCAUGUUAAUGGCAAACAUUUAUUGAGCAGGGGUCCCAGUCACUAAGCAUUUUCAUGGUCUAAUCCUCGGAACAGCUGUGGUGGAGAGACUGCCCCAGUGGCCCCAUUCCCUGUAACCACGUACUUUGCGAUGUGACUUUGUGCCUCCUCCCCUCAAGGUGAGAAGUUGGGUUCUCAUCCCAGGAGGCUGAGGUGGCCUGGGGACUUGCUUUGACCGAUAGAACGCAACAGAAAUGAGGAUGUGCUGGUUCUGAGCUUAGACCUCGAGGGACCAUCUGAACUUCUGCUCCCUCUUAUAGCCAUGUCUCUGCCAUGAGAACAAGCCUGAGCUGGCCUCCUAGAGCUGUGGUCCCCACCCCCUGGGCCAUGGACCACUUGUUCCUGGUGCCAAAAUGGCUAGGGACUGCUGUUCUAGAGGAUGAGUGAUCACGUGGACAGAACAGUCAUUCCAGCUGAGUCAGCCCCCAGCCAAGCCACCAGUUGGUUGACUGCAGACCUUCCCAACUGACCAUAGCUUUGUGGGCCAUCAGAAAUAGUUACUGUUUUAAGCCAUUGAAUUUUUUGGGAAGGGGACGGUUUGUUACACAGCAAUAGCUAACUGAUACAACAGUCAACCUACCAGUCUUAUGGAUGAGGAAAGUUUCAGAGAUAUUAAGUAAUUUGUCUAAGGUCAUGGAACUAUUUAGUGGUGGAGUGACGGUUUAAAGUCACGCAGUCCAACCCCAAAGUCCUGGCUCUAACCCUCUACACAUAUUGCCUCUGCAUUCCUGUGACAGUACGCGACUUGGCAUGUAGUAGGUGCUUAGUUAAUGUUACUUGAAUGAAUGCUUUACUAUUUUAAACAGAUCUUUACCAAACAAUGGCAAGAGCUGAGUAGAGGAAUUGUGGAUUUUUUAAAAAAUUAACCUCUGUAUAUAUUUGUUUUCAAAAGAAAACCCACAGAAGUAUUAUUCAUAAAAACAAUACACAGAGCUCAGAAGAGGAGAGAAUAAGGCUGGUCUUGGGUAGGAACAGAACUGAUAAUUCCUCCCACGAUGAUGUCAAGGGCAGGUGGCAAAGCUUACCUUUCUGGAAUCUUCCUAGUGCUCUGUCUGUCCCUCUCAAAGGAUAGAUUCUCACCCCAGCCUCUCAAAUUCUCUGUUCUAGGGAUCCAGAAAUCAACACUCAAUUUCCCCAUAGAUCCAAGAGCAUCCUGGGAAGUCCAAUGACCAGGGC
Molecule: non-coding RNA, 1854 nt
Organism: Microcebus murinus (gray mouse lemur)
Lineage: Eukaryota; Metazoa; Chordata; Mammalia; Primates; Cheirogaleidae
Source: RefSeq, a predicted model, not a curated record